Sycon ciliatum is the source of this 891-nucleotide long non-coding RNA. RefSeq lists it as uncharacterized. The transcript has 5 exons. The record is from RefSeq and is a predicted model, not a curated record. NCBI's taxonomy places the organism in Eukaryota, Metazoa, Porifera, Calcarea, Leucosolenida, Sycettidae.
ACUAGUGAAAGAUAACUCUCAGUUCAAACGGCUUCUUCCGGAACUUGUGCCCCACCGUUUUCCAAGUGUUUUUAAAAUUCAAACAGCUUCAUUUGUUCUUAGAAGCAGUCCAUACUACGAAACUACAACGUGUAUUCUGGUUACUUUUCUACUAAACUUUGGAAACCCUCAGGGAACUUGAAACGAUUCGGUUACUAGGUGUUUUACAACAGCGUUGUGCACCUUGCCUGAGUAGCUGGCUCACCCCCUUUGAUCAUUGCGGUCUGCGACGAGUGGAUGAAGUUCCCAUCUGGCAGACAACCAGCUCGUGUGUGCAUGGAUGGUUGACCAUUCUUCGCUUUGAAGAAGGUUAAGAUGGCACCUUUCCCCCACCAAGGCACAUCGGUUAUGUUACUACUCUCUAGUAUCACGUGCUGUGCCUGCACUGUGUUCCCUGGCGGUGGACCCAUCGAAGAAUACUAUGAGCGUGGUGCAGAUGUACUCAAUGGGCCAACGUGUAAAGUCAGCCGCGGCCAAGCUUUUCUGGACAUAACAAAUGAAGGUUCAAGAGGAUCUUGCCCUCGACGAGUUCAGUAUAGAAGGGCAGGUCUGUCUGUCUUCCAGAGACUCCUGUUCUUCAAUGCGGACUACGAAAUUAUCCAGCUGAGACUUCUCAACUACUCCGGUGUUCAUAGUUCGUACUCGUGUGGUGAUGAUCGAAGGCCUUUCUCCCGAAGAAAUAAAUACUCUAUUCGCCUCGGCAAGCCAAUUGUUGGUAUGAAUACUUACCUUCGAGGAAAGAGAGGACUGGAUUAUCAGCCCCAUGUGCCACAUGUUUACGAUGAAGGCUCGGUCAUUCCUCCUGUGAUCUGUGCACCAAGGCAUGGAGCUCCAAGAAGGAACUCUACUACA